Non-coding RNA from Delphinapterus leucas (beluga whale), 2065 nucleotides. The record is from RefSeq and is a predicted model, not a curated record. Lineage: Eukaryota; Metazoa; Chordata; Mammalia; Artiodactyla; Monodontidae.
CUGAGUACUUACAUGUCUAGAAUUAAUAUCUGUCAUCUCACUUAAUCCUCUCAAAAACCUUGGGAGGUAGGUACCAUUGUUAUCCCUGCUUCCCCAUUUUAUAGAUGAUAAAGCCGACUUAGAGAGGCUAGUGGCUCACUCAAGUUUAUACAGCUAGUAAAUGAAGGAGCACGUUAUUGAACUCAAGUAUUCUUAUCUAGGACUGGUACUUUUAGCUAACUUGCUCUGCUGCUUUCUUAGAGCUGGGGAAAGUAAACAGCUAACAAAAUAUUUGAAGGACUAUCAUGUGGAAUAGAGAUCAGCCCUUUUUUAUACAGUUCUAGAAGGUAGUGCUAAUGUAAUAGGGGAGAACUUUUGUAUUCCAUUACAAGUUCAUCACUAAAAGGAUGUUGCCUAUAAACUUAAAUUAUACAAAAUGGCCCAUCUCUGGGAACCCUGCCUCCUAGGUAAUGAGCAUUAAGCUAGAAAACCUUUGUUUAGCUUUUAGGAAACAUCCUGACCAGGCCCACCUGUGAAUGACUGCGGGCAGGAAGAAAUUAACACAUCCCCUCUGGAGGCGGACUGGAACCAGGAAGUGUUUGACUUUACUCCCUCCCCUUUUAGUAUAAAAGAAGCCGAAGUUCUAACUCAGGCAAGAUGGUUCUUUGGGGUGUGAGGUAGCCAUCUUCUCAGUCCCCUGGCUUUCUGAAAAAAGCCGCUAUUCCUUUCCCCAACAAGUUGGUCUGUCGUGUGGUGAGCAGAAUGAGCUUGGACUCGGUCACACUGAGUCUAGGAAAUGUAAAAUUCCAGAAGGGAGAUUUAGGCUAGGCGUUAGCAAGGAGAGUGUGUUAGAGACUAUGGAAUGGGCUGCAUUGCCGAGUUUCUCUCUCCAGCCUCUUGCCAGGCUGGCCCCAGUUGGAAAAUUUUCAGGUAAGGCCUUAGCAUCUGCCGGGACCACUUGUACUGAGGAUCUUCCCUUCAGAAUUCUCUGAAGUAGCAGUGCCUACCCCAGCGCUUGGCAGUUGGAACAAGGGAUCGGCAUUCGGGAGCUGGCGAGCUCAGUACAGUAGGGUGAAGAAAUGAUUGCCAGAGAGACUAAGUGACUUAAGUCAUAUGAAGAAUUUGAGUGCCAGCCGGGGAGGACUUCCACUGGAACUCUGCUGGGAUUCUUUCUCGCAGUUUGAGGAACCACCCUAGAAGGGUAUGGAGAGACCCUCUCCUCCACUCAUACUCACGCGACAGAAGCCAGUCUCUGGACAGCUGGAAUUCCCUUUACUUUUAAAACAUACUAUGUACAGGGCAGCAGUGGUCACUGGAAUAGUGCUACUUACAUGACUAAACCACAAGUCGAGGUGCAGACAUGUGAAAAUUAAAAAAAAAAAAAAAUACACCAACAUUAAAAUAAAUACUGCAUAAUGACAGAGUCCAUAUCAUCUUGGCAUUAGUGGGUGCCAUGCCUGCUGGAGCUCUGAAGUCUGCCACUGUUCACGCUGUCACACUGGACUGGCUGCUCCCGUCCCCAGCCAGAGGAGGGCUGACGUUUUUGUCCUGGACCAAGUCUUUGGUCUCUUGCUUUUCACCUGAUGCUUCCUAGGACUUCAUGCCUUGACUUGUAACAUGGCUUAAUGGCUGGAUAGCUCCAUUUCUGUGGCAUCACAGGACUUUGGGGUCAGAGAAAUGAAGAAAAAGGAAUGAUAAAAAUAUAAAGGUGCCAUUGAAAAGGGCUUUUGUUGCAUGAAACUGAUUCUUUGAGAUUAAUCCAUGGCUUCAUUGGACCAAAACGAUAUUGAAUAUAUCGAUAGUUCCCUAGUGUGUAUAGCUUUAUAGCACUGGCCACUACUUUGAAGUUUCCCAAGCAUUUCAGCUGUGAGGAAUGGAAAAGGAUGUGAUAAGAAAAGAUGUUGGAUACAAAGUUUGACUCCAUGAAGACACUUUCUUAGUGUCUUGGAACCUGGUUUUACAACAAGGCCACGGGCCCGAAUGAUUUCCACCUCCAGCUGUCCCUUUUUGUCCAUCAUUCCUACCUGAAUGUCACCUAAUGGCGUGUGAGGAAGAAACAAACAAUGAGAGAAAUGUUUGUGCCAAA